AGGAUGGUAAAAUCAUGAUGGGAAUGCACCCGCUUUAGCAUCCAGCCCGCCUAGAUUCCUGAACUGACAAUCUGUCUAGUAACAACAUGAUAAAUCUGUAAUAACAGCGAUGUCCUAAUGCCACACUUGGAAAACAGCGCAAACAAUUAUACAUCUCUGGCCCUUGUAUGAGAAAUCACUUCUUGUGUAAAAGUUCUGUCUGUUUUUCCCCAGACAAUAGUAUAGAAGGCAUUGUGUGCCCGAGCCACGAUCUGCCUAAGGUUCCUGUAGCUCGUACCGUAUAUAUACAAUUUAGGUCAGCCAGUAACCUUCAUGCUUUUAUGAGUUUAUCCCAGUAAGAAAUCCAGCCUCGCAGGUACUUGGUACAUAAUGAUAUCUGGCAGUCGCUCUUGGGUGUGGUGACUUCAACAAUGCAGAACGCUAUUGCCGAAAGCUUUCACUGCAGUUGUGAGAUAAGGAAGCAUAUUAAAGAGACAAGAAGGGGAAAGGAAAAAAUAGAGUCUUCUGCAGCAGAGCAGCUUGCAAUGCGGUUGAGACCUGACUCACUAGUGAGCUGAUGACAGGGAGCCUGUCUGCUUCAAUGGGUGGAGAGAGCAAUCUGCAAGUAAAGCAACAGCUGGAGGCACCCUGAUUGAAAACCACAGAAAUGUACAUCAAACUGCAUUAAUGACCUUCUGGACACAACAAUGUUAUACCUACCAGUCAUGUGUAUGGAUCUGCAUUCCCGGGUUCCUCCAGCAUCGGCCCCUCACUGAUGAAGAAUGAGUGUUAUUUCUGCUCAGUGCUGCUCUCUGGUGGACAAUAGUUAUGAUAUCACAUGUAUGACACACUGUUGUGGUGUUCUAGUCCCGUACCUUGUACCGUACCUUAUGUGCUAAGUCCCCAAAGUCAGAGUUCCUGCAUACCAGUAGGAUCCUCCUAGUGGGAUAACUGCUUGUCACCUCUUCCUUCUUUAAUUUUAUGUGUUUGAUGUAUAUAAUUUAUAGAUAUGUAUAGUACUUCCAGGACCUGAGGUCACAUGACUAUUUAGCCUACUGUUAGGUUAAGCUUAAGGACCUUCCAGGUCACAUGAGUGGGUCACAUGAUGUACCACAAUGCUUUGUGAAAGGACUGACAGUUGGUGGAACCAAUAAGCUAUGAGCCUGCUCCCUUGCCAUAUAAGGGCGCUGUUACCCAAUCAUCAAUCUCUUGGUUCCUGUACUGCAAAGCAGUAACAUCUCUCUUGGGUUCCGGACUUGCAGAGAGAGAGAAGCUCCGUGUAUACCUGCAAGACAAAUCUAUGCCUGAAGCCUGCUAGCUUCAACCGAAUACAAAACCAUCUAAACUCCAUCCUAAAUCUACGUGGCUACUGAACCUAAAACCAAACCCUAAAUUCAGUGGAACAGCGUAACGCACGCCUCAGAGCUUAUUUUCCUACUAGGUCCCAACCAACUGUGAGGAACUUAAAGUCGCUCCUCUGUAAAGACUGUUACUCCUGUUAACCUGCAUAAGAAGUUGCAGUAAAGUUAUUUAAAGUUUA
Hyla sarda is the source of this 1519-nucleotide long non-coding RNA. RefSeq lists it as uncharacterized. The transcript is spliced from 3 exons. The record is from RefSeq and is a predicted model, not a curated record. NCBI's taxonomy places the organism in Eukaryota, Metazoa, Chordata, Amphibia, Anura, Hylidae.